Molecule: ribosomal RNA, 275 nt
Filed under: uncultured bacterium
Lineage: Bacteria
Description: partial 16S ribosomal RNA
Rfam family: Bacterial small subunit ribosomal RNA
Source: RNAcentral
CCUACGGGUGGCUGCAGUGGGGAAUUUUCCGCAAUGGGCGAAAGCCUGACGGAGCAAUACCGCGUGAGGGAGGAAGGCUUUUGGGUUGUAAACCUCUUUUAUCAGGGAAGAAUUUGUGACGGUACCUGAUGAAUCAGCAUCGGCUAACUCCGUGCCAGCAGCCGCGGUAAUACGGAGGAUGCAAGCGUUAUCCGGAAUUAUUGGGCGUAAAGGGUCUGUAGGUGGCUCAUCAAGUCUGCUGUCAAAGCGUGGGGCUUAACUCCAUACAGGCAGUG